Molecule: non-coding RNA, 73 nt
Organism: Myotis lucifugus (little brown bat)
Lineage: Eukaryota; Metazoa; Chordata; Mammalia; Chiroptera; Vespertilionidae
Source: Rfam
GCUGGUUUUGCUCAGUGGAUAGAGCAUUGGCCUGUGGACCAAAGGGAUCCAGGUUCAAUUCCGGGAGAGGGCA